This is a long non-coding RNA of Helianthus annuus (common sunflower), 685 nucleotides long. RefSeq lists it as uncharacterized. The transcript is spliced from 4 exons. The record is from RefSeq and is a predicted model, not a curated record. Lineage: Eukaryota; Viridiplantae; Streptophyta; Magnoliopsida; Asterales; Asteraceae.
CCACCUCCAAUGGAAGCAUCUCUUGUGACUGUUCCAAUAUCGUUUGGAGAUCUGUAACUUCCCAUGCAAGUUAACCUAAAUUCAUCAUCCAGAUGCCAUUUUUGCUAUCCGAUAACAACAACAAUGAGUUUCGACACUAGCAGCCGACGGAAUUGUGGCGGACAUCGAAGCUUUCGAUGGUGAUUUCUGUUUUACUACUUGGACAACUGAUCUCUUUCAUACUAGCACUUAUGAACUUCACUUCAUCUCUAUCCGCUAAUCUCGUAAUGAGGUACCUAGAAGAUACUAGCCGAUCAUUUGCAAAGAAUACGUGUUAUUUCUUUCUCAGAGCCUCUGCAAGAAGCGAAAUAAUAGCCCUGUAGUUGUCAUACAUCGGGUUACAAGAUAUGAUUAACCUUAGAGAUAAAAGACAAAGGAAGAUGACAUUGAGGGAUGCGGCAUUGGAGGAGGACCGGGCCACCACGGUUCGGGGUGGAGGCCGUGGCGGUGGCCGAAGCCAAUGGGGAGGACAAGAGGUCGGGGGCAGAGGCCGGGGCCGAGGCCAAAGGGGAAGGGGAGGACGAGAGGCGGGCAGAGGCCGCUAGGGCGUUGGCCGAGGCCAAAGGGGUCGUUACUCAUUACUCUUUACAGCUUAUUAGACUUUGAUACAUAAAUAAAUAAACAAGCAGGUAUACAUUGGCUUGAA